Molecule: ribosomal RNA, 322 nt
Filed under: Clostridioides difficile
Lineage: Bacteria; Bacillati; Bacillota; Clostridia; Peptostreptococcales; Peptostreptococcaceae
Description: partial 23S ribosomal RNA
Rfam family: Bacterial large subunit ribosomal RNA
Source: RNAcentral
ACGAAGAGGUAUCGUAAUUGAAGAGGUUUGGAAAGACCCACCACAGAAGGUAAUAGUCCUGUAUGUUAAACGAGAAGACUUCAGAUAUGAUCCAGAGUACCACGGGACACGUGAAACCCUGUGGGAAGCAGGAGGGACCACCCUCCAAGGCUAAAUACUACCUAGUGACCGAUAGCGUAUAGUACCGUGAGGGAAAGGUGAAAAGAACCCCGGGAGGGGAGUGAAAUAGAACCUGAAACCCUGCACUUACAAGCUGUGGAAGCACAUUUCUUGUGUGACCGCGUACUUUUUGUAGAACGGGCCAACGAGUUACGUUAAGUAG